This 348-nucleotide ribosomal RNA is filed under the name uncultured Helicobacter sp. Its description in RNAcentral is "bacterial SSU rRNA". It matches the Rfam family "Bacterial small subunit ribosomal RNA", at positions 85 to 450 of the family's 1533-position model. Lineage: Bacteria; Pseudomonadati; Campylobacterota; Epsilonproteobacteria; Campylobacterales; Helicobacteraceae. The record is from RNAcentral.
AAGUGGAUUAGUGGCGCACGGGUGAGUAAUGCAUAGGUUAUGUGCCCUUUAGUCUGGGAUAGCCACUGGAAACGGUGAUUAAUACUGGAUACUCCCUACGGGGGAAAGUUUUUCGCUAAAGGAUCAGCCUAUGUCCUAUCAGCUUGUUGGUGAGGUAAUGGCUCACCAAGGCUACGACGGGUAUCCGGCCUGAGAGGGUGAUCGGACACACUGGAACUGAGACACGGUCCAGACUCCUACGGGAGGCAGCAGUAGGGAAUAUUGCUCAAUGGGGGAAACCCUGAAGCAGCAACGCCGCGUGGAGGAUGAAGGUUUUAGGAUUGUAAACUCCUUUUGUAAGAGAAGAUU